This 774-nucleotide ribosomal RNA is filed under the name uncultured Neocallimastigales. RNAcentral describes it as "partial large subunit ribosomal RNA". It matches the Rfam family "Eukaryotic large subunit ribosomal RNA", at positions 23 to 640 of the family's 3401-position model. Lineage: Eukaryota; Fungi; Neocallimastigomycota; Neocallimastigomycetes; Neocallimastigales. The record is from RNAcentral.
GAGACUCUGUGCGCGUGCAUAUCAAUAAGCGGAGGAAAAGAAACUAACAAGGAUUCCCUUAGUAACGGCGAGUGAAGCGGGAAGAGCUCAAAUUUGAAAUCUUCAAGGUUCUACCUUGACGAAUUGUAGUUUAUAGAAGUGUUUUCUGUUAGUAGAGUGGCAAAAGUUCUUUGGAAUAGGACAUCAUAGAGGGUGAGAAUCCCGUAUUUGGUCAUUCUUUCUAGCUUUGUGAUACACUUUCAACGAGUCGGAUUGUUUGGGAAUGCAGUCCAAAAUGGGUGGUAAAUUUCAUCUAAAGCUAAAUAUUGGCGAGAGACCGAUAGCGAACAAGUACCGUGAGGGAAAGAUGAGAAGAACUUUGAAAAGAGAGUUAAACAGUACGUGAAAUUGUCAAAAGGGAAGCGUUUGACACCAGUGUUGUUUUUCCGAAGAUCAAUUACGAAUGUUUUAUUUUUGAGAAGUUAUGACUUCAUCGGCUUGCUUCUCUCUUUAUGAAACUUUCUUAAUGCACUUUUCGGUUAACAAGUCAACAUCAAUUUCUUCUGUUGUAAAAGGGUAUGAGGAAGGUGGCUUUCUUUUCGGAGAAAGUGUUUAUAGCCUUGUACCUCUGCAAUUGGAGAGAUUGAGGUCUGCAGCGUAGAUCCUUCGGGGUUAGAUACAUUUGUGCUAAGUUAUAGCUCUUCAUAGACAACUUGUUGACUAUGUUUAGUCUUGUAGCUUACUCGCUUAUGCUAUUUUACCUACGCUUAGGAUGUUGACAGCAGUAUAGACUGU